Molecule: small RNA, 167 nt
Filed under: Helianthus annuus (common sunflower)
Lineage: Eukaryota; Viridiplantae; Streptophyta; Magnoliopsida; Asterales; Asteraceae
Description: hypothetical non coding rna
Rfam family: tRNA (bases 1-71)
Source: RNAcentral
GCAGCAGUGGUCUAGUUGUAGAAUAGUACCCUGCCAUGGUACAGACCCGGGUUCGAUUCCCGGCUGAUGCACCAAUGAGCUGUGAUGUUAUAUGCCUUUGCUGUUGGUUGGGUCCAACACGUUGUCUGAUUUCUGUAUGAUAUGACAAAAUAGGCCCUUCUGAGCUC